GACGAACGCUGGCGGCGUGCUUAACACAUGCAAGUCGAACGGAAAGGCCUGCUUUCCCUUGUGGAUUGCGGGUACUCGAGUGGCGAACGGGUGAGUAACACGUGAGUGAUCUGCCCCCAACUUGGGUAUAAGCCUGGGAAACUGGGUCUAAUUCCCGAUAGGACUGCAGGGUGGUGCCUGUGGUGGAAAACGAUUUUCUAGUGGUUGGGGAUGAGCUCGCGGCCUAUCAGCUUGUUGGUGGGGUAAUGGCCUACCAAGGCGGCGACGGGUAGCCGGCCUGAGAGGGUGGACGGGCACAUUGGGACUGAGAUACGGCCCAGACGCCUACGGGAGGCAGCAGUGGGGAAUAUUGCACAAUGGGCGGAAGCCUGAUGCAGCGACGCCGCGUGGGGGAUGACGGCCUUCGGGUGGUAAACUCCUUUCGACCGCGAGGAAGCCACCUGGUUGGAAGGGUGGUGACGGUAGUGGUAGAAGAAGCACCGGCUAACUACGUG
Molecule: ribosomal RNA, 494 nt
Filed under: uncultured bacterium
Lineage: Bacteria
Description: partial 16S ribosomal RNA
Rfam family: Bacterial small subunit ribosomal RNA
Source: RNAcentral